RNAcentral lists this ribosomal RNA (372 nucleotides) under uncultured organism. Its description in RNAcentral is "bacterial SSU rRNA". It matches the Rfam family "Bacterial small subunit ribosomal RNA", at positions 526 to 896 of the family's 1533-position model. The record is from RNAcentral.
CGGAGGGGGCUAGCGUUGUUCGGAAUUACUGGGCGUAAAGGGCGCGCAGGCGGCUGCUCAAGUCAGGCGUGAAAGGCCUGGGCUCAACCCGGGAAUUGCGCUUGAGACUGGGCUGGCUUGAGUGCGGGAGAGGAUGGUGGAAUUCCCAGUGUAGAGGUGAAAUUCGUAGAUAUUGGGAAGAACACCGGUGGCGAAGGCGGCCAUCUGGACCGCAACUGACGCUGAGGCGCGAAAGCGUGGGGAGCAAACAGGAUUAGAUACCCUGGUAGUCCACGCCGUAAACGAUGAGUGCUAGACGUUGGGGAGCCUAGCUUUCCGGUGUCGCAGCUAACGCAUUAAGCACUCCGCCUGGGGAGUACGGCCGCAAGGUUA